Molecule: microRNA, 22 nt
Filed under: Ciona intestinalis (vase tunicate)
Lineage: Eukaryota; Metazoa; Chordata; Ascidiacea; Phlebobranchia; Cionidae
Description: Cin-Novel-1_3p (mature (guide))
Source: RNAcentral
UAGGCAGCUAAAGCAAGCCUUC